RNAcentral lists this ribosomal RNA (1278 nucleotides) under Paenarthrobacter sp. Its description in RNAcentral is "bacterial SSU rRNA". It matches the Rfam family "Bacterial small subunit ribosomal RNA", at positions 112 to 1401 of the family's 1533-position model. Lineage: Bacteria; Bacillati; Actinomycetota; Actinomycetes; Micrococcales; Micrococcaceae. The record is from RNAcentral.
AACACGUGAGUAACCUGCCCUUGACUCUGGGAUAAGCCUGGGAAACUGGGUCUAAUACCGGAUAUGACCAUCUGACGCAUGUCAUGGUGGUGGAAAGCUUUUGUGGUUUUGGAUGGACUCGCGGCCUAUCAGCUUGUUGGUGGGGUAAUGGCCUACCAAGGCGACGACGGGUAGCCGGCCUGAGAGGGUGACCGGCCACACUGGGACUGAGACACGGCCCAGACUCCUACGGGAGGCAGCAGUGGGGAAUAUUGCACAAUGGGCGGAAGCCUGAUGCAGCGACGCCGCGUGAGGGAUGACGGCCUUCGGGUUGUAAACCUCUUUCAGUAGGGAAGAAGCGAAAGUGACGGUACCUGCAGAAGAAGCGCCGGCUAACUACGUGCCAGCAGCCGCGGUAAUACGUAGGGCGCAAGCGUUAUCCGGAAUUAUUGGGCGUAAAGAGCUCGUAGGCGGUUUGUCGCGUCUGCUGUGAAAGACCGGGGCUCAACUCCGGUUCUGCAGUGGGUACGGGCAGACUAGAGUGCAGUAGGGGAGACUGGAAUUCCUGGUGUAGCGGUGAAAUGCGCAGAUAUCAGGAGGAACACCGAUGGCGAAGGCAGGUCUCUGGGCUGUAACUGACGCUGAGGAGCGAAAGCAUGGGGAGCGAACAGGAUUAGAUACCCUGGUAGUCCAUGCCGUAAACGUUGGGCACUAGGUGUGGGGGACAUUCCACGUUUUCCGCGCCGUAGCUAACGCAUUAAGUGCCCCGCCUGGGGAGUACGGCCGCAAGGCUAAAACUCAAAGGAAUUGACGGGGGCCCGCACAAGCGGCGGAGCAUGCGGAUUAAUUCGAUGCAACGCGAAGAACCUUACCAAGGCUUGACAUGAACCGGAAAGACCUGGAAACAGGUGCCCCGCUUGCGGUCGGUUUACAGGUGGUGCAUGGUUGUCGUCAGCUCGUGUCGUGAGAUGUUGGGUUAAGUCCCGCAACGAGCGCAACCCUCGUUCUAUGUUGCCAGCGCGUGAUGGCGGGGACUCAUAGGAGACUGCCGGGGUCAACUCGGAGGAAGGUGGGGACGACGUCAAAUCAUCAUGCCCCUUAUGUCUUGGGCUUCACGCAUGCUACAAUGGCCGGUACAAAGGGUUGCGAUACUGUGAGGUGGAGCUAAUCCCAAAAAGCCGGUCUCAGUUCGGAUUGGGGUCUGCAACUCGACCCCAUGAAGUCGGAGUCGCUAGUAAUCGCAGAUCAGCAACGCUGCGGUGAAUACGUUCCCGGGCCUUGUACACACCGCCCGUCAAG